Long non-coding RNA from Neofelis nebulosa (Clouded leopard), 561 nucleotides. RefSeq lists it as uncharacterized. The transcript has 2 exons. NCBI's taxonomy places the organism in Eukaryota, Metazoa, Chordata, Mammalia, Carnivora, Felidae. The record is from RefSeq and is a predicted model, not a curated record.
UUGUGUCCUUCAAAGUUCCUAUGUUAAUGUCUUAACCCCUCAGGUCCUCAAAUGUGAUCUUAACUUGAAGACAGCGUCUUUAUAGAAGUUAUCAAAUUAAAAUGAGGUUAUAAGGUUGGGCCCAUAAUCCAACAAGUGGUGUCUUUAUAAGAAGGGGAUAUAGAUACGCAUGGAUGUGAAGAGACACAGGGAGGACUAUCCACAAACCAACGAAGGAGGCCUGGAAUAGAUCCUUUCCUCACAGCCCUCACAAAGAAUCGAUACUGCCCACACCUUGAAUUUGGAUUUCAAGACUCUGGAAGUUUCCAAUGCAGACCUUCUCUACCUAAAUGAUGACUGCUUUUCUUCACAGGACAUAAACAGGACAAAAGACAUGAAUCUACACUCCUACUCCAAAUAAAAGAGUUUUGUAUUUCAUCAAUGAUAUUGACAUCCUUCCUGUUACAAAAGCCAAAAACUUGCUUUGGAUUUGUGUGCGCAUGUGUGACUUAUACACAAAUAACAUUUAAUUGGCAAAUUAAACAUGCCCAGCAUAUUUGAUUAAAUUCACUGCAAUACUCA